AUUGAACGCUGGCGGAAUGCUUUACACAUACAAGUCGAACGGCAGCACGGGGGCAGCCCUGGUGGCGAGUGGCGAACGGGUGAGUAAUACAUCGGAACGUGCCCGGUCGUGGGGGAUAACGUAGCGAAAGUUACGCUAAUACCGCAUACGAUCUGAGGAUGAAAGCGGGGGACCUUCGGGCCUCGCGCGAUCGGAGCGGCCGAUGUCAGAUUAGGUAGUUGGUGGGGUAAAGGCCUACCAAGCCGACGAUCUGUAGCUGGUCUGAGAGGACGACCAGCCACACUGGGACUGAGACACGGCCCAGACUCCUACGGGAGGCAGCAGUGGGGAAUUUUGGACAAUGGGCGCAAGCCUGAUCCAGCCAUUCCGCGUGCAGGACGAAGGCCUUCGGGUUGUAAACUGCUUUUGUACGGAACGAAAAGGCUCUGGCUAAUACCUGGGGCUCAUGACGGUACCGUAAGAAUAAGCACCGGCUAACUACGUG
RNAcentral lists this ribosomal RNA (484 nucleotides) under uncultured bacterium. RNAcentral's name for it is "partial 16S ribosomal RNA". It matches the Rfam family "Bacterial small subunit ribosomal RNA", at positions 30 to 507 of the family's 1533-position model. The record is from RNAcentral.